UGCCUUAUAACUCAAUAAGAUAAUGCUUCACCUCCUUUCAUCUGUAAAACUAUAAAAAGCUGAUUCUUUUCACCUCAGUGUAAGCUUUAUUGUGCUUAGAUCCUUAAAUAGUGACUCUGUUGUUCCUUUCCAGGAGAUCAUGCUUCUCUUCAAGUAAGAAAGAGGCAAGAAUGAGUUGCAAGCAGUGCAGUGACUGGAAGAGAGUACAAUAAGAAUUUGGAGUGGACUGAAAGAAGCUUUCAGAUACUGGGAACAAUCUGUACUUUUUUGGGGCGCUUGGGGAAGAAACAGCAGUCAGGUACCUCAGGCAAAUGUCAAAAAGCUGCAAUCCUCUCCAUCACAAACUAGUUUUACCA
This 356-nucleotide long non-coding RNA is filed under the name Cyanistes caeruleus (blue tit). RNAcentral's name for it is "lncRNA (ENSCCEG00000021047.1)". Lineage: Eukaryota; Metazoa; Chordata; Aves; Passeriformes; Paridae. The record is from RNAcentral.